GAUGAACGCUGGCGGCGUGCCUAAUACAUGCAAGUCGAGCGAACAGACGAGGAGCUUGCUCCUCUGACGUUAGCGGCGGACGGGUGAGUAACACGUGGAUAACCUACCUAUAAGACUGGGAUAACUUCGGGAAACCGGAGCUAAUACCGGAUAAUAUAUUGAACCGCAUGGUUCAAUAGUGAAAGACGGUUUUGCUGUCACUUAUAGAUGGAUCCGCGCCGCAUUAGCUAGUUGGUAAGGUAACGGCUUACCAAGGCAACGAUGCGUAGCCGACCUGAGAGGGUGAUCGGCCACACUGGAACUGAGACACGGUCCAGACUCCUACGGGAGGCAGCAGUAGGGAAUCUUCCGCAAUGGGCGAAAGCCUGACGGAGCAACGCCGCGUGAGUGAUGAAGGUCUUCGGAUCGUAAAACUCUGUUGUUAGGGAAGAACAAAUGUGUAAGUAAAUAUGCACGUCUUGACGGUACCUAAUCAGAAAGCCACGGCUAACUACGUG
This 497-nucleotide ribosomal RNA is filed under the name uncultured bacterium. RNAcentral describes it as "partial 16S ribosomal RNA". It matches the Rfam family "Bacterial small subunit ribosomal RNA", at positions 28 to 507 of the family's 1533-position model. The record is from RNAcentral.